UACGGAGGGUGCAAGCGUUAUCCGGAUUCACUGGGUUUAAAGGGUGCGUAGGCGGGUUGGUAAGUCCGUGGUGAAAUCCCCAAGCUUAACUUGGGAACUGCCGUGGAUACUAUCAAUCUUGAAUAUCGUGGAGGUAAGCGGAAUAUGUCAUGUAGCGGUGAAAUGCUUAGAUAUGACAUAGAACACCAAUUGCGUAGGCAGCUUACUACACGAUCAUUGACGCUGAGGCACGAAAGCGUGGGUAGCAAACAGG
Molecule: ribosomal RNA, 253 nt
Filed under: uncultured bacterium
Lineage: Bacteria
Description: partial 16S ribosomal RNA
Rfam family: Bacterial small subunit ribosomal RNA
Source: RNAcentral